UAGAGGACAGCUCACCACCGGGUCAAGAGGAUGCGGUCAACCCUCUAGACACGUCAUACCGGCAGGUACAUAGUGACUGAAACUGAGUCAAACUUUGCCUUUAUUUGCAAGAAUUUUCAAUCAUUGUGAGUUCAAGAAGCUUUAAUUGAGGGCUAAUUUUACAGAAUUGCAGCUAAAGUUUGUCCUUUUACUGAAGGUAUUUUUUUUAAAAAAAAAUUUGUUGUCUUCUGAGUUGCUAA
This is a long non-coding RNA of Zingiber officinale, 239 nucleotides long. RefSeq lists it as uncharacterized. The transcript has 2 exons. The record is from RefSeq and is a predicted model, not a curated record. NCBI's taxonomy places the organism in Eukaryota, Viridiplantae, Streptophyta, Magnoliopsida, Zingiberales, Zingiberaceae.